This 255-nucleotide ribosomal RNA is filed under the name uncultured bacterium. RNAcentral's name for it is "partial 16S ribosomal RNA". It matches the Rfam family "Bacterial small subunit ribosomal RNA", at positions 524 to 776 of the family's 1533-position model. The record is from RNAcentral.
UACAGAGGGUGCGAGCGUUAAUCGGAAUUACUGGGCGUAAAGCGCGCGUAGGCGGCUUUUCAAGUCGAUUGUGAAAAUCCCCCGGGCUUAACCUGGGAACUGCAUUUGUGACUGCAUAGCUAGAGUACGGUAGAGGGGGAUGGAAUUCCGCGUGUAGCAGUGAAAUGCGUAGAUAUGCGGAGGAACACCGAUGGCGAAGGCAAUCCCCUGGACCUGUACUGACGCUCAUGCACGAAAGCGUGGGGAGCAAACAGG